RNAcentral lists this long non-coding RNA (210 nucleotides) under Nicotiana benthamiana. Its description in RNAcentral is "long non-coding RNA (NBEN_LNC024704)". The record is from RNAcentral. Lineage: Eukaryota; Viridiplantae; Streptophyta; Magnoliopsida; Solanales; Solanaceae.
ACCAUACCGAAUUUAAUAAGGUACAGUAUUUUUAUAGGAUUUUAAGAAACCGAAUACCGAAAAUACCGAACCGAAAUGUUUAAAUACCGUACCCUACCGACCGACGAACACCCCUAGACACGACACUAGUAUCGGUGUGGGUAUGGGAUCCGUACCGUAUCUAGUCAAACAAUUUUGGAUACUUUGACCACACGAGACAGAAAAAUUCGA